Molecule: ribosomal RNA, 412 nt
Filed under: Verrucomicrobiota bacterium
Lineage: Bacteria; Pseudomonadati; Verrucomicrobiota
Description: Verrucomicrobia bacterium partial 16S ribosomal RNA
Rfam family: Bacterial small subunit ribosomal RNA
Source: RNAcentral
UGGGGAAUAUUGCGCAAUGGGGGAAACCCUGACGCAGCGACGCCGCGUGUGGGAUGAAGGCCUUCGGGUUGUAAACCGCUUUUGAUUGGGAGCAAGCCUUUUGGGUGAGUGUACCUUUCGAAUAAGCGCCGGCUAACUACGUGCCAGCAGCCGCGGUAAUACGUAGGGCGCAAGCGUUAUCCGGAAUUAUUGGGCGUAAAGAGCUUGUAGGCGGUUCGUCGCGUCUGGUGUGAAAGCCCAUCGCUUAACGGUGGGUUUGCGCCGGGUACGGGCGGGCUAGAGUGCAGUAGGGGAGACUGGAAUUCCCGGUGUAACGGUGGAAUGUGUAGAUAUCGGGAAGAACACCAAUGGCGAAGGCAGGUCUCUGGGCUGUUACUGACGCUGAGAAGCGAAAGCGUGGGGAGCGAACAGG